CCCAAGCUUAGCAGAGCAGUGACCACAGGGCAGUGAAGGGAAAAGAGCAAGAUAGUCAAGUUCUACAUUGAUAAACCAACUACAAAAGUUUUAUGGAAGAGAGAGUGUCUAAAAAUAGCUUAAUUAAAUCUACAUGGAACUAAGGCUGGGUCUGUGAAAUAGCAAGCCUGGAUUUCCUUUAGGAGUUUACGCAGAUCUUUGCUCCCUUCAUACUACUCUGGAGGAACAACAGGACGAAUCGACCCGUCACAUAGUGCCACUGCAUAAGCAUAGAGACCCUUGGAUGUGAGGAUGCUGUGAGUUCAGACUGUAGCUGUGCUGCACAAUUACUUUUUCUGAAGGGCAAGUUCCAGACCUGGGUUAGUCUGCCACCGCCACUAAAACAAGUAUCCCUUUUCCUGUGGUUAAAGAAAAUCAUGAACAAAGCUACGUUGCUGGAGGUGUGAGCAUGAAGUGAAGAAGGCGCCUUUCACUGCUUGCAAAAGGGGAUCCACAUUUCUCUUCCACACAAGGUAACUCUGUACCCAGGCAGUCUUGGUACACGCAGGACUUGGAGCAGACCUCAGCCUAGAUCCUGGAAUGCAGAAAACAGCUGUUUUGCCUAUAAAUAAACCAAGAGGCUCUUCUCAUAUGAGGCCAUUUUUUUUUUUUUAAACAGAUAUGCCGUAGAAAUGAAGUGUCACUUUAACUGUUGGUGUUUGAAGUUGGAGUAUGUGGUAGUAGCAGGAUUCACAUUCUAAUCUGUGAAAGUCGCUGUGAUCAGGUUUCAGCCUUAUCGCCUUGGUAUCAUGUUUCAGUGAAACCACUUGUA
Long non-coding RNA from Cygnus olor (mute swan), 811 nucleotides. RefSeq lists it as uncharacterized. The record is from RefSeq and is a predicted model, not a curated record. The transcript has 3 exons. NCBI's taxonomy places the organism in Eukaryota, Metazoa, Chordata, Aves, Anseriformes, Anatidae.